UACAGAGGUCCCAAGCGUUGUUCGGAUUCAUUGGGCGUAAAGGGUGCGUAGGUGGCGCCGUAAGUGGGGUGUGAAAUUUCGGAGCUUAACUCCGAAACUGCAUUCGAUACUGCGGUGCUUGAGGACUGGAGAGGAGACUGGAAUUCAUGGUGUAGCAGUGAAAUGCGUAGAGAUCAUGAGGAAGACCAGUGGCGAAGGCGGGUCUCUGGACAGUUCCUGACGCUGAGGCACGAAGGCCAGGGGAGCAAACGGG
RNAcentral lists this ribosomal RNA (253 nucleotides) under uncultured bacterium. RNAcentral's name for it is "partial 16S ribosomal RNA". It matches the Rfam family "Bacterial small subunit ribosomal RNA", at positions 524 to 776 of the family's 1533-position model. The record is from RNAcentral.